CCGCCCGAUUUCCAGCAGCUUCCAGCGCCCCCUCCCCACCUCGCGCACUCGCGCGCCAGACAGCCCUGUGAUCCAAUGGCGUUGCGGCGCCCCGACUUCCGCAGCCAAUCAGAGGACGUUGGCCUCACCGCGCCCCUCCUCCGUGCUGAGGACCGGGGCGAGGGGCUGAGGCUCGACCGCGGCUGUCGCCCGAGGGCGACCGAGAGUCAUGCUCGCUGGUGGGGGCGUGUGAGGGCGGCUUUGCCUCCGCCUCUGCUCACUUCCUUUCUCAGGAAUGGUGGGCGCCGUCCCCACCCCUCACUGGCAGUGACGGUGGACAACAAAGGGGCUCGGGGUGGCGGCCAGACAAAGAGGGGGACUUGGAGGGUUGCAGCGCCGGGGGAAGUUGGGAACAAAGCUAGGGGGCUGGGAGCUACAGGGAGACGCACUACAAGAAACCAAAAGCAGAAAGUGCCUUUGUCUCCCUUGCUGCCCAAACUUGCGGAAAUCCGGGUGGUCCUGUCUCACCCGCCGCCCACCUGGGCCUGAUCGGCCACGCUGGGACGAUGCCCUCACCGCGCAACCAGCCGAGAGGGAAACAGGUCGGACCUGGGCAGCGCCCGAGGGAAAGCCUGGGUAGCCAGCGGCCAGCAUUUAAAGGCCCCGCCUCCUCAAAGGAAAGGCUGCUGACUCCUUUAAUUGAGACCUGACUCCGGUUUUAACCUGUCAGCCCUGGACCUAAGGAAAGCAGGCAAAAGUAAUGGUGAGAAGUCAGAAGAGGACUGCAAUCAAAGUGCUACUUCGGGAUGAUGGAAUUAAGCAUUUCAACAAAUCUUCCAGUAGCGAUGCUCACUUUAAAUAGAGGGGAAAGUGGGGCAGUGAACAAGAGGCUUUCGCCCGAUUCUCGGUACCAGGUCGGUGCUGGCGCCGACAAAUGGAGGUCCCACCGAGAUCGGAGAAGAAAGGGGGUACCACCUACGGGACGUCCCUGGAGCCCGGCCAGCAUAGGAGGAGAAGGGACGGAUUGGACGUAAGAUGGGUCAGGAAAGGCCUGGAUGAUUUGGGCUAGCCUGAGUAAAACUUGUCAUAAAAAAGGGACAAGGUAACGGUAAAGUGUUUUUGCAUAUGUGUUCUGUUAGAGUUAUAUUUUAGUCUUUGGACCCUGACUAGAGAUAGUUUAUACCCUAGACAUGAGAGAGAACGGGUUGGGGAAAAACAGUCCUCCCGGACUCUCCGAGGUUGCUUUGGAGAAAGAAAAACCUUUUCAGAGCUCUCCUAGGAACAGAGGGAAAGCAGGAACGUCCUGCCUCUCUGCUGGCUCCUAUUGGAGAAAUGCUUAUUUCUGGUUCUGGGUUCCAUAGGUAGGAUAUGUGGGUCCCUUCAGUGGGACACCAUCUAGUUUUUUCCCUUUAUGUCUAUUGUUUGUCCUUGGUGCACCAAGCUGUCCAUGUCUGUCAGUUUAUGUCUGUGGUUUUUGUUUCUCGUUGUUUAAAUGUUUUGUGUUUCAUGUUUAAAAGAAAAGGUUAAAAUUUUAAAUGCUGGUUGAUUCACCCAUUGAUGUAGUUUUAACUCCUUUCAAAAAAGGUACAAAUAAAUAAAAAGUUUCAAUUGGCUUUUGGAGCCUACAUCUGUAGCUAGAAGCCUAAAUCUGCUGGGCAAGCUCCCCAGGGGGCUGGCUAAAUGUUUACACUAGCCAAUCUUAAAGGAGCCAGCAGCUCCUCAGCUUCUAUGUUAAGGGAGCGGAUGGCUGUUUCUCUUAGAAAAAUCCCUGACUUAUUAUUUGACUUAGCAGGUGACAAGGUGCUUCUCUUAAUAUUACAGCUAGAAAAAGUAAAAAUGGUGCUUGGUCUAAAUAUUAAAGAUAGGUGUAGCCACUUCAAUUUUGUUUCUGAUUGGUUUUAAAUGUAUAAAUAUGCUCUACAUGCCUUGGUUAUGGACUAUUGGCUUUUAGGUUAUUGGAUAUGGUUAAAAAAGUAUAAUAUUGGUAACAGAAAGUUGACAUAAAGCUGGUAAUUUAGAUGGAGUCAUUCUAGACAACAUGUGGCAUGAGCCAACCUAGGGAAACAGGUCUAAAUUGAGAUAAUAUUUUUAUGGAAUUCUUAUCCUAGAAAUCAGGCUUCUAAAAGAUUUUAGGGCAAUGUCUCUUUGUUGAGGUAUUAGAGACCGCACCAUUCUGCGUUCAUAUGUAGGAAUUGGCAGUCAAACUUAGUAGCAUGAAGGAUAGACUCGGUGUUUUGGAGACUGGAUUUUGGAGACUAGUUUGUUAGAGGUUAAGUUUUGCUUUCCAAAGUUGUGGUUUGCCCUGAAGUUAUCUGUAUUUUAAUGCUAAUUCCACUGCCCCAAGGACAGCUGCCUAGUCACUACUCAGAACUCAGGUGACCUUGUGGUUGUGCUCUGGUGUUACAAGGAGAACGUAAGGAUUGUGAUUAAGGAUUGCCAGUGUUACAUUGAGUAACUCAAACUUAUUUAUAAUUGAGAAAAAAAUCAAACAGGUAGAGAUUGUUACAAGAUUUACGAAGGAUUGAUGAGGUUUUAGAACUUGUGAGAGCAUUACAGCCAGUUUACUUACUCCAACUGCCAUUUCAAGAUAGAUUUAGAGGAUUGAUUUUGAGUUUUCAUUUCGUGAGCCUGCUUAUAAUUUUAGAGAGCCCAUAGAGUGAUAUCAUUAAGAAUGGCUAAUAGCCUUAUAUUAUGUAAUUUUGUUGCUUCUUCGAUGUAAGAAGUUAGAACCUUAAAUCUUUCAAUGUAUAUGGAAAUUUUUACUACAAACCUUUGCUCUCAAAAUGAGCUUUAAUAUUUGGGGAGUAGCUGUUACACUACUCCAGAAAAGAAUAUUUGAAGCUAAUUUUAAGCUUCUAAGGAUAUGUUAAUUGGCUAAGUACCUCACCCUACCAGAGGACUUAGGUCUUUGUUAUGCACAUUGGAGAUAAAGCUUCAGCUGUGUUAGUACAGAGUUGUGGACUGGAGUCAUAAAAGUAUUUUAAAUAGAAACCUGGUAAAACAUAUCUUAUUCCAAACAACAGUUAAUUGGUUAUUACAAAAUACUGAUAUUUGGCCUAUUACAUAUACAAAUUUCAGGCAAGAUUGAUAAUUUUACUCUUUACAUGCUUUUGUAUUUCCUGUAAAUUUGUGCAUGCAACCCAUAGAAAAUGCGCUUAGUGUAUUUAUAGGUGGUUCAUCUAAUGAAAAGGCUACAUGUAUGAUUGGAUCACUUGUUUAUUCUCUUGAGUUUCCCCUGCUUCAAUACAGACUAUUAAAUUACGUGCUGUAGCCACUGUUUUUAAAUGUUAAAAAUCAAGCUUUCAAUUCAUAUACUGAUAGCCAAUGUGUGGCUUGUGGUUUUACAAUUGAUUAAAAGGUUUUCCUUUUUUUUUAGAUACUACUAGCCCUCAAAUUUUACAAUUACUUAAUGCUUUAUUAGAGGCAGGUUUUCUACAUAAAAUCAGUGAGUGAUGAUUUCAGUGUAAAUUGUCUGACAACUCACUGUCCUUUCAGUGCUCUGGCUCAGACAACUAAACAAAACCAUAGACCCAGCUCUUUGAAAAUGGUAAUGGAGUUGAUAACACACCCUCACAAAAAGAGGAAGACUCCAUUUGCUUACUUUCAACGCCCAGCCUCACCCUGCCAACUCAGGGAUUUCUAAAUAAGGCUAAAUCUGGACCUUGUUUACAGGAUUUGACAUUUCUAAUUAAUGCUUAUGUUUAGGUAAAUAAAGCUGGUGAGGGGCUGGAGAGAUGGCUUAGUGGUUAAGAGCACUAAGUACUGUUCCUUUAUAGGCCAUUUAAAAACUCAAACUGUAUUGCCUGGACCCCUUAGCAAGGGAGGACAAUAAUACCAGGCAGAUUAUAGGCCUUACAUAGAAACAAUUAGUCAAAAAGUCUCAUUCUUUAUAUCAUCAAAACAAUAAUGCUGGAAACAAUAAUUUGGUAUACAAGUCAAUUUAUAAAUACAAGUGCUCAGUGUCCUCAAUUUAAUCCUCGAGGACUUAUCUUAAUAAAUAAUAUUUUAACAAUUUUAAUAAAUAAAAGGGGGAACUAUCCCUGAAUGCUAAUAAUGCUCCUUUUAUUUCAAUUUUAAAAUUUGGAUGCCAAGGUUUAUGGCACCCUACAACUAGGCAUACUUCUGCCUAGGUGAAAUAGAAAGACCCACAUAUUGGCAUGAUCCUGUCCAGGUAUUUUAUAUGGGGAAGAGGGAAUGUUUGUGUUUUUUCUACAGAAUGCUACAGGAGUGUGCCAGCUGCCUGAGAGUCUGAGCCAUGCUGAUCCUGGGAGCAUGAAGAUUCAAUUCAGCUCUCGUGGUUCUGGUUCCUGGAGUCAUUCCUGUGCCCUUAGAGGAAGACGGAGGAUUCCCCCUCAUCUUUUGUCAUCACAGAAAUUCUGGCAUUGCUGCAGUCAUUGUGUCCUGUCCCAUCUCGGCCUGCCCUCCGACCCUCUGUGCACUGCUGCUUGCUGGAAGCUGCUGUGGACUGGGGAACUCUGCCCUGGUUCUGCAGAUCUCAGACAUGGUUCCAUUGCCUGCUGGUUGGUCCAGAGAAGAAUGACUGAUCCUGAACUGUCCUGGGAAAGACCUAGGCAUUUUCGCUGCUAUUGUGGCAGCCAUUACUGCUGCAGCCAUUGUGUCUGCAGUGUCUGGAGUUACCCUCCCCCAAUCUAUUGUUAGGCAAGCACAGUGGGUGAACUUUCUGGAGUAGUUGCUAACAAUUGGGAAUUCUAAAUUUUAUUAUAGGAGCGGCUUGACUACGGCCCUUGGUGGUAACAGCUGAGGAGAACCAGAUGAGGUGCCCACUACUUAUCAGGAGAGGCUCAACUUCCACAAUCUCUUAAAUUAACGCCAUCUGGCCUCUGCUCCUUCGCCCCUGGGCUCAAGUAAGAGGAAUGACAAGAUGAUCCAAUGUAGCUAUCCUCAGGGACGGGCAACUUCCUCUGACCCUUGACCAAUCUAAGGCAGGAACCUUGGGGGCGACAAGGUGAUCCUAUGACAGAUAAGGCUGGGGUUUGAGAGGUCGAUCCUAAGACAGAGGUGGCUACACCCCGUUUAAACGUACGGGCCGGUCAAAUGCUCCUCUGCCCAGUUUCUCCCCCAAUAAACACACGUAUAGCCCAGAACAGUGUGUUACAGCAUAAGUUCAUUUCUGGCCAUUGGGGUGCAGUCCUAACUGCAAGAGUGGCUCGCCAUGGCCGAGCUGGGCACUCUGUGAGGCAUGUCUGAUCUCUCUCAGACCACUACUUCCACCUAAUGGUCUUUUAUAUAUAAAUAACGGGGGAGAUGUAGUGCCAUAUUGGAUUUGGGCCUGACUGCUUUGCAACUGCAUGGCCACAGUUAAGAAGUCAUGGGAUUGUUGGACAGAGGCCUCUCCCAUGUAUUUACGGCACAGGAAGAAAAGACCAAGUAGUAAACACCCGAUAUCUCCACUGCAUGACCUCUGCUGAGCCCGGCUGAUGCACGUGGAACUGACACACCUGGACCACACCUGGGUGGUGGUCAAUUUACUUCUGCCUUUUACUUCCUCAGCCUUUAUCCUUGAGAUUUAGGCUGGUCUUCUGGGAUUUCUCCCUAAUUAAUUCAGAUCUUGAAGUCAGUCUUUUGUUAACUGAAGUCACGAGCCAGGUAGUCACGAGCCAGGGUUUCCCACUGUGCUUCCCAGAUAUCACCUGGGGAACUUGGGUAUAUAAGUGGUGAAUAAAGCUACAGGAGUCUCUCUCUCUCUCUCUCUCCUGGCUUGACACGAAUAACCUGUGUGUGUGUGUUUCUUUCAUCCCGUAGGCUUUCGCCCGAUUCUCGGUACCAGGUCGGUGCUGGCGCCGACAACCUUUAUUCACCUUAGUUUCCUUAUAUAAGAAAAGAAGUAAUAAUAACUGUGUAUGAAAAGGUUACGACUGUUUGCCACAUUGUAACAUUUGAAAACUACCACAUUAGUCAGAAUCCUCCAGAGAAAUAGACCAAACGGAAUGCAUAGAAAGAAACAGAAGAAGGUAUAAGGAACUGCCUUGAGAUGAUGAAGACAUAGAAGCCUUAUACAAAGCAGUCAGGAGCACUUGAGGUCUAUAGCUCCAGUCCAAAUUCAAAGGCCUAUGGGCCAGAGGAGCUCUGAGGUAUGGACCUCAGCAUCCAAAAGACAGCUGCACCGGUGUUGACAAAAUUCCUGAUGCGGAUGCCCCAGCUUAAGCACAUUUUCCUUCCUCUACCUUUGAGGUUUCUUUCAGUUCAAUCAUGAUGCCCACCCACACUGAAGAAGGCAAUUUUCCUUCCACAGUCUACCAAUUCAAAAGCUAAUCUUUUCUAUAAACAUCCUUAUAGACACGUUCAGAAAUACUAUUUUACUGUCUAUCCAGUCCUCCAUCAACCCAGUCAGGUUGAUGUAUUGAAUUAACCAUUCAGGAAAUUUAAUAUAAUUCUAAAAAUGAAAAAUGUUUCUCUCCUAUGAAAAUAUUGCAUCUAGAUUUAACUGGUUUUCAGUGUAUACAUAGUAUAUACAUGUAUUAAAAUAUCAUGUGGUAUACUGUAAAUAUAGACAUUUUGUCAACUACACCUUAAAUUUUAAAAUACUCCAUCUCUAUGUUUUUAAUGAGGAAACAGACUGUUGAGUUAACAACCAGUGAUGAGAAUGUAAGUUGGAUGGAGGCUUCCCCACUAGGAUCUGCUAAUUUGACUAGGAGCCUUCAGAUGAGAAAGAACUGAAUGAGUUACAUGUGAUUCUUCAUUGUCCUGCCUCAGAUAACCAACCUAUGAGAGCAGUCCCCAUGUCCCUAACUCUUAGAAGCAUUUAUUGAAUAUUCACUGUGUUCAAGGGACUGUGUGGAUGCUGUAAAACAUACAUGGUGCUAACCAUCAAAAGACAAAAUCACCAUGUGUAUGAGACAGUAAAGUAAUACAAAGCACCAGGACGGGUCAGUUUUUAAUGUAAAAAAAACACACAAUACCCUUUCUAGAAAACACAGAGGCUGAGUUGGUAGUCAAAAGACCUGAAAUUUAUUCCUAAAUAUCACAGCAAAGAGCUGUGAACUUUAGAAGUUCACUCACCUUCUUCUUAUGCCCCAAGCCUCCCAUUGUUAAGUGUAAACAAUGCUAGGUGUCCUACUUUACAAUAGUAAAGAGUGACUGUGAGCUCAGAAGUAAUAAUAGGCUGGGUUUUUAAAGAUAUUAGUAUUGUUCUAAUUCUAAAAAUAAUCUCAAGUGGUAAAGAGGCCUUAAGAUAGAAAUCACGUCUUUAACUAGUGUUACCAACUUGAGCCAAAGCCUAAGUGCCAAGCAGCGUUUAUGGGUGACAAGUGACAGGGUAGCAGUGUUCUCGUCCGGCUCCCUUGCCCUUGCCUCUGAAAAUGGAAAUGGCUAUGAUAAUUAAAGAUUGCUACAAUAAAACAAUCCCUUCUCAACUUAUUUUUAACUUUGAAUAAACCAUUCAGAAGAAAUGAA
Rattus norvegicus (Norway rat) is the source of this 7392-nucleotide non-coding RNA. NCBI's taxonomy places the organism in Eukaryota, Metazoa, Chordata, Mammalia, Rodentia, Muridae. The record is from RefSeq and is a predicted model, not a curated record.